AGCCCUAAGCGGGUGGUAAACUCCAUCUAAGGCUAAAUAUGACCACGAGACCGAUAGCGAACAAGUACCGUGAGGGAAAGUUGAAAAGCACUUUGAAGAGAGAGUUCAAGAGUACGUGAAACCGUUUAGGGGUAAACCUGAGAAACCCGAAAGGUCGAAGGGAGAAAUUCAUUCGCGUUUCGACGUCGACGUCGGUCGGUCGUGUGACGGAGAACGACGUUCGUUCGUUUUCCGCUCCUUCAGGCCUAUUUGUGACGAUUCGACGACGAACGCGUGCACUUUUCUCCUGGUAGGACGUCGCGAUUCGUUGGGUGUCGGUCUACGGCUCGCGGUGGAGACCGUUUGUACGAUUUCAUCGUCGUACAGAUGGACCCGUGAUGUCCCGGCCGACUCGCUCGACGGUAUACGAAAGGUUUAAGGCCGCUCUCUCUCCACUUGUGGGGUAGAGCGUUCGACUCGUGGCAAGCCCGCCGGAUGCGUCGGCGAUCGGACCCCGUGCCGAUCCUGACCUCAGGUGACUGUUGGCCACGAAGUUCUCGAACAGACCUUCUCCUCCUCUUUAACCGAUCUGCGACGCUAUAGCUUUGGGUACUUUCAG
This 598-nucleotide ribosomal RNA is filed under the name Alcidodes sp. CNC COL VG00010804. RNAcentral describes it as "partial 28S ribosomal RNA". It matches the Rfam family "Eukaryotic large subunit ribosomal RNA", at positions 284 to 645 of the family's 3401-position model. Lineage: Eukaryota; Metazoa; Arthropoda; Insecta; Coleoptera; Curculionidae. The record is from RNAcentral.